GGAAGGAUGCCCGAAUGGCUAAGGAACCGGUCUUGAAAACCGGCAAAAUCGCAAGAUGUCUGGGUUCGAGUCCCAGUUCUUCCGCCA
Molecule: transfer RNA, 87 nt
Filed under: Flavobacterium sp.
Lineage: Bacteria; Pseudomonadati; Bacteroidota; Flavobacteriia; Flavobacteriales; Flavobacteriaceae
Also listed under: 2 other names
Description: tRNA-Ser
Rfam family: tRNA
About the family: Transfer RNA (tRNA) molecules are approximately 80 nucleotides in length.
Source: RNAcentral